This is a long non-coding RNA of Cavia porcellus (domestic guinea pig), 8020 nucleotides long. RefSeq lists it as uncharacterized. Lineage: Eukaryota; Metazoa; Chordata; Mammalia; Rodentia; Caviidae. The record is from RefSeq and is a predicted model, not a curated record. The transcript has 2 exons.
GAGAGGGGGCAUGAGAAGGUGUGGAGAGGAGCAGAAGUUUGGUGGGGUCACGGGAGGCACACAGUGAGGGGAAUUGCAGACAACAACAACAACAAAAUGCCUGGACAUAGAGGACCUCAGACCACUUACCCCACCCGUGGCAGUAAUUGUCAAGAUCCUGGAAGAUUAAAAAAUCAAAUGUCCCAUUAACUGGCUAUUGGGACUGAUUGUCCAGCUGGCCAGGCCAUAUUGCAGAAAAGGAUAAGGUGCUUUAGCUUCAGGUUGGGAGUGAAAUGGAGAGACGUGGGAGCCUUGAGAAUGCAAGGCAGGGAAGAGGAAGCAGGGAUGGAGAGAGGUAACUUUCCCAUGAUGACGCAAGACUGCCUUUGAACAGGGGCAGCUCAAGAAAAGGAGGCGCAUCUCCUAUCAGUUUCCUGAGGUCAAAGACAGUAGACCAAAGCAGGUGUCUCCAGGGCUGGGAGGCAUCAGGGGAGCUGGCUGUCUGCAGGGGCUGAGUUUGAUCAGGCCUGGAUUUUCCUGCAGUACACCUCUUGACUGGGUCUUGAGGGCUAACAAGGGUGAGGAGGGAGGCAAGGAGCAACAGCGGGGAAGGUAAAACCUCACUCACCCAACCUGAAGGGAAGAUCCAGACUAGCAGCCAGUCGAGGCAGAGUGGGGGUCACAGGGCCAUGUCAGCAGUGAGCUCUGUUUGCCUAGGCAGGGUUCGAGGAAGGGAGGUCAGACCCUCGGAGUAGGGGACCUCAUUACCCUCCUCACAUGAGUGAAACCGAGGCAUGCCUGAGACCACCGAGGCAGGCGGGGUUGAAGCAAACACCCUAGAAGAGGAUUCUGGGAACCCUGACCGGUCUUCUUGCUCUUUUACUUGCUGACCACGAGAUGAGCCUUUGGUUCCACACACGCUCCUCACUGUGGCCAUGUGGCACACUCACCAGAGGCCCAACGCAGUGGGGCCACCCAACCUUGGAACCCAACUUUCAAAGUUGUGAGUCAUUAUAAACUUCCUCUCAGGCCAGGGAUGUAGCUCAGUGGCCCAGGGCCUCCCUGGCAAGUGCAAGGUGGUGAGUUCCAUUACUGGUACACCGCUACCUCACCCCCCCCCCCCCAAAAAAAAAACACAAAAAGAAAAAGGGAAAAAACUUUCUCUCUUUGUAUGUUCAAAAUCUUCAGUAUUUCAUUACAGUAACAGGAAGCUGACACACUUAUCUAACAUCCUUGCUUUUUUUCCUCACGUAACUUUUAGUCCUCUGUAUCUCUUUACUGUUUGAUACUGAUUUUCAUUACCCUGGCUAAAGUUUGCCUUCAUUCUUCACGCCUUACCCUGCAUUACUUCCCUCUUGUCUACCAAUCCUUUAAGGCCUUGCUUAGGCCUCACGAUUCCUGUGAGGCUGUUGAGGUUCAUUGCUGUGGUUGGGGCACUGGUUGAAUGUGUUUUCAAAGGCUCAUGCGCUGGAGCUUGAGCUCUGGUGAGGCAGUGCUGAAAGGGUGGAUGGUUUAAGAGUUGGGGCCUGAUGAGCUCAGAGGGUCAUCCUUUCAGAAGACACUGAUGCUGGUGUUUUUGAGUAAGUUCUUUUGAGAGUGGGUUGGUAUAAAUCUGUAUGUACUUAGCUGCUUCUGCAUGUGGUGAGCUCUCUUUCUGUUUUUGAGCCACCUUGUGACACAACCAGAAAGGUUCUUGCUGGUAUUUCAGGCUACGCAGAUCGAUUUACAGAGCUAAAUAAGCUUCUUUUCUUUAUAAAGUAUCCAACUGCAGGUAUUUUCUUAUAGCAACAGAAAAUUCUGUGGUAUAGUCGUUUUCAGAUGGAAUUAACAUUUCUCUGAUUUGUGUUGUUUCUCUGUCUCAUACUUAUUCAUGUAAUUUGCAUGCAGUUCUCUGAACUUGGAAUCAUGUGCGUACAUAUCUUUCUUAUACUUAAGAGGCUAUGAACUUACUGUGUAUUGGACCCACUGUAUCUUUUGUCUUUAUAUUUAAAGAUAGACCUUUAUCUAGGCCAUACAUCUGUCAAUGUUUUUUAAAGUGAAUAGAAUCAAAAUUGGCUGCGUGUCUGGUACACUUCGGUAGUUCUGAGGAAUUUGUGGUAUUUGCAGCAUACUAUGUGUACCCUAUGGUAUUGCAUUCUUUGGUGUUGCCUGAGCCAGUAUAAUUCAAGGCCAAUGCGUGGAAUAUAGACAGCGGUUGGUAUGAGAACUACUGCUCUACUUUAUAUUUACCUGGCCACAUCUGAUUGCAGCUGGCUUGGGGAACUGCUUUCAGGAAUGUGUAAGGUUUGUUGUUAGUCACAAUUUUUUAAAAAAGCAAACUGUUAUAUUGAUAUAUAAUUUAUAUAUCCUAAACUUUAGGUGGACAAUUUGAUGGUUUUUGUAUAUUUGUUCCUUUAUUACCUUUACAUAAUUUAAAAACAUUUUUAUUGCUUCAGAAGAAAAGCUUGUACCUAUCUGUAUCACUUCCCCCACCCCCCACCCUCUCGGAGGAAAUGUGAACCCUCUAAUCUACUGUCUUUCUUUACAGAUGUAUCUAUUUUGAACAUUUUGUAUCAGUAAAGUCAUAUUGUAUGUGGUCUGUGGUCUUGACUGGCUUCUUUCAGUUAGUGUGAUGUGUUUGAAGUUUGUUCUUGUGUUAGAAUGUUAUUACUAAUUUUUAUUGCCGAGUAAUAUUGCCUACAUAUGGAUAUACAGCUUUCCCUGUUUACCAACUGAUGGACAUUUAGGUUGCUUCUAUUUUCAGUUGUCCUGAAUACUGCUCUAAACAUAUGCAGAAGUUUUAUAUGAUGUAGUUUUUAUUCUUGCAUAAGUGUGGAAUCACUGGGUCUUGUGACUCUCCAUAAAACUAGUGAUUUUAGACAUCUAGCACUAUUUACAUUCUUCCCAGCAUUGCAUGGGGGUUACUUCUUUUUUUAUAUUCUUGUCAACACUUGUAAUUAUCAGGCUUUUUAUUAUAGUCAUUCUUACGGGUUUAAAGUGGUGUCUCAUUGUGGUUUUGUAUUUUCCUGAUGACUAAUGACAGUGAAUGUCUCAUGUAUUGAUUGACCAUUCCUAUGUUCUCCUUAGAGAAAGGGCUCAUUUAAACCUUUUACCCAUUUUUAAGUUAACAUUUCAUUGUUAAACUUUAAGAUAUUUUGUACAUGGUGAAUAUAUAUCGCUUAUCAGGUGCAUGAUGUUUUCCUAUUCUGUUGUCAUUUCACUGUUUUGUUUUAAAGCAUAAACAUUUUAAAUUUCAUGAAAUUCAUUAGUAUUUCUUUUCUCAUUUAUGCUUUUGGCAUUGCAUAACUAAAAUCAUUGCAUAACUGUGACAAAGCUUCCUGUGCUUGUCUUCUUCCCGUGGACUGUUUCUUCUGUUUGUAGGUAGCCAUGGAGUCAUUGUAACUUCUUUCAUUGCCACCAGAUUUGCACAGUGUCAGGACCAGAGUCAUGAAGCCAGAUCCAUAGGUUAGAUGGUCAUAAUUAUGUGUAUGUGCUUUGAGAUGGGGCUCUGGUGGUGCCCGGAAAACACUGGAGGGGGAUUUGCUGGACUCUGUUAAUAAAGAUCUGGUGAAUAAACAAUUAAAAAUGUUGGUAAAAUGAUGUAUAACCAGACUUAGAUCUUUUGCUAAGAAACACCAUCUAAAUUAGCUUGUUCUGAAAUCUUUGACUACAGUUUAAACUUGUGUAUAAUAAGAAAUUUAGAAAACAAGAUUAUUUGGGUAAAACCUAGCAAGGUUGGUUGAUAGCUGGGAGAUCCAUAGUAUCCAGAUUAUGUCUGGCACGUAAAAUUUUCAAAAAGCCAGCUAGCUGUAAUAGCUUUUCUUCUUUAUUUCAUGUUAGAAUAUUGGAUGUUUGAGAUCUUUUUUUGGUAUAUUUCCAUGCUCUUGCUUUCAGUGCCAGUUUAAGGAAUUGCUAAUUGUCCAUUCUUGCUGGAAAGUACUGAUUUCCAUUUGAAUAUAACAGUCUUUUUGCUAAAACUUUCCUAUGGUUAAUUCGAGCAAAUACAGAAGCCUUCUGUUUGUGAACUGAAUGUUCAGCCAGCCGUGAUGUAGCCACUAUUAUCAAUGAAGCUUAUUCAUCACUCUGCGCUAGUGCAUUGUACAAGGCGUGCUGAGGAUCUUGGAGACUUUGAAUAGAGCGCUUCUCCUUGCUUACCUCCAUGCACUGUUGGUAUUAAGUGAUUCUGUUGUCUAUCUUUUCUAGACUUUGUGGAUAAUUAGAUCUUUUUGUUUUAUGUGAUUCCCAGUAGUGCUUUGCAGAUGCUAGGCAUGAAUUGAGAGUUAGUUCAUUUUCUAAAUUAAAAAAGAGCAAUUAAUGUUGUUCAGAGAUAAUUUUGUUCUGUUCUUUUAUAUGCUGAUAUUAUCUUAUAUCCAGUGUCAUUUUACAAAGAUACAGCAAAUAUUAUGUUUUUAUGAAAUGAAGUUGAGGAUCUUACGUUAAAUCUUAAACUUUUUAAUAGUUAAUUUUGUAUCAUUGUCAGACAAUUCACAGAUUGUUGAAUUUCAUUUGAAUAGAUACAGCUGUAGAGACAGGUAUAAAAGGGAUUAUAUGACCCAGUGCAUAACUAGAAUACAGUAGAAGUUGUCAAAACCCAUUGUAUACUUUGAUAAAAUUAUGUGCUACAAAAUGUAGCUGGCACUGAUUAUGUGAUCCUUAUAAACUAUAAUCAACUCAUACAUCUGACCUGCUCACACAGUAGUAUUAUUCCCUAUGUGUAGAUAUUGGAGUACAGAAUAUCUAUGAUAGAACAGUAAUUGUAUUUUUUGAUUCCUCCAUACAGUCUUCUGUUUUUCAGAAUAGUCCAUGGAAAAUGGUGCAUGGAUUCCAUUCACUAUUCCUGGUGUUUUCUGUCAACAAUCCACGUUUCAGGGACUCAGCCUGUGGUUUCUGUUCUAUGGAAAUGCAGCUCUCUGGAUCUCCGGAGUUACAAUAGGUCAGGAACGAGGUGGUUCUGGAGGAGCUCGUUGAUUCAACAGUUUUUGCUUGUGGGACUUGUGUUUUCCAUGAGGACACUUUAAAAAUUAAUUCAUUUCUUUCAGACAAAUACUCCUCCCUUCCUGCUCACUCACACGUGUACCAACCCCCUUUAGAGAUUCCCGAGCCCAUAGAAUUCCUCUGGAUUAAAAAUGAGUCUUGAGUUGGCACCUACUGUAUUAAGUACCUCAGGGUAGCUUAAGCCCAGGACCACCUUGCAGGGGGACUCAGGCGGCUAAAGGCACAGAAAACGCAAUUCUAAUUUCUGCUUGCGUAUCAUCCAGUGUCCAAAAUAAGGGUGCUGUACACAUGGUGUGCACAGUGUGUGGGCUACAACCCUUUUCCAUUCUUCCCCAUGGAUAUAUGUGAACCUGUUUAAGAUUGUAAAAGCCCAAGAUCAUUGUAGAAUUUCACGUUUUAUUUUAAGAUAUUUUUUAUGCUUCUCAAUCUCUUUGCAACACACCUAUAGUACUUACAUUUCUGAAAUUUGACUAGAACUUAUGACUGAUAACAGUGUGCAUCUCAUGUGUUCAUUGCCGAUUCCUGUGUUUUCCUUGGAGAAAUAGCUUAUUUAAGCCCUAUACCCAUUUUUAAUUGGAUGGUUUCCUUAUUGUUAGACGUUGAGAUUUCUGCACCUUUCACCGGCAGGCAUCGGUCUUGUCUCUCGGUAGCAUACUGCACUUGUUCAUCCUUCUUGUAAUUACUAAUCUUCCUUCCUGUGAUCAGGUCAGUUACUGGGUUAAGUGAACAGUUCCCUAGCAUGCAUUCUGAUCUGUAUUAAACAGCAAGGAAGAAGAUAAGACUGUAUAACAUACAAAACAUUUCUGUAAGCCAUUCUCCCUUGCCUGUGUUUCUUUGCACAAAACAAGUUCUUUUCAUUCCUAUGUUGUUCUGGUGUGUUUAUAACUGGUCUGUAUCCCUCCCUGUCUCCCUCUCACUCCAAACCUACCUCUCCGCUGCUGCAGUCAUGUUUGUGAAUACAGAAAUACAUCCUUUUCCUGCUUAUAAAAAUCUUCGGUAGUUUACUACUAUGUUUUGAGUGAAGUCCAAAAGCUAUAUUAUGAAGUCAUGGUGGUCUCUUUGAAUUCUGUUUGAGUUAACUUUCCGGCCUUUUUCGGUUUAUUCCUGUGUAUAAAUGUCCCAUCCACUUAUGUGACCUCCAGGCCUCGGCCAGUGCUCUGCUCUGCCCAGGGUGCGUUUCUUCUCCCUGCAUUUUGCCCUCUUCCGUGGCCCAGCGCCUUGGUCUUCUGUGGAGCCUCAGUGGACUCUGCCAGCCAUCUGUCUUCAUCUGGGUUGUGAGUGUCCUGUUACCUAGCAAACAGCGCUUGUGUUUUGUCACUUUACUGCUUUGCUCCUCAGACUUUCUGCAUUGAUGACUUUGUAAAAUAUAGCAAGAAAUGAAAUACAAAAAGAUAUACUUAAUAGAUGCUUUAGUUUGAAAUUAUUAGGUUCAGCAGACCUAAAAUUACUGCUAAAUUGCUGUAAAAUUUUCUAAAUGUUUUCAAUCAUUUUCUAUGCUUAGCCAUCUUCUCAUAGGUCAGCCCUGGUCCGUGGCCACAUUUUGAGUAGCACUGCUAUGUUACCCUUAGGAGACAAUUUGAGAGUCAUUUGCUUUCUUUACUGGAUAGGGGUUUGUCUUAAUAAUCUUGUAUUUUGUGUGGAUAUCUUUGGUCCCUGCCUCUUCUCAAAAAACUGGAUCUUAGAAUAGUGCAUGAUACACUUGGUAAAUGAGGGAGUGAAUUAAAUAUAGCGUUCCCUCUUAAUCACAACUGCCUUGCGUUUUAGUUUGCAGAGAAUCUUGAAUCGAGCUCUACUUUAAUGUGAGUGCCUCUUUGAAGUUCACGAUGCCCUACUGAAGCCUUGCUAGGGAGGAGGAGGCUUCCUGACUGUCUGCAGUGGGUGUACUUGUGCGGUGAAGCGUCUCAGCACUGAGAAAUCCUGUGUACAGGAAGAAGACAUUGUCAUGUCUUUAGCCCGGGAGAUAAAAUGGUUCUUUGCUGUAGGAGAUGUUUGGACUAGCAGCACCUUUGACACAGUCUUUGUCCCACGGUUGCCUUGAGGAGAAUGCUUGCUCCAUGACUUUCCUGUUGCUGGUUUUACUGGCAAAUCACAGGCACUUGCUGUUCCACCCUCCGAUUACACACUCCAGGACUCAGCCCUCCUGUCAGCCCGUCCUCUUUCACAUUCCUGAGUUUGCAUAUCUGUAGAAUCUGUGCCUUUUUGAAGAUUGUACUGUCAGUUUAGAAGCGGGGAACCUGCUCUAUUUCCUGUGACUGUGCAGCAGGAGUUGUGCUCUGGGAGAAAGUGUUGGCAACCUGAAUCCCAGCCCAGACUUUGCUGAUAAUUGAUUGCAGACUCUGGGACAGCCAUAUUCUUUUUCUAAGUUGUGUCUUCAUUUGAAAUCUAGACUAAGUUAUUUCCAGGAUUACUGAUACUGGGGACUUAACUCGGGGCACUGUACCACUGAGCUACAUUCACAGCCUUUUUAUUUCCUAUUUUGAGUCAAGGUCUGAGUUGCCCAGGCUGGCCUUCACCUUGCAGUCCUCCUGUCUCAGCCUGCGUAGCUGGAAUUACCGGUAAUAGCCAUGGUCUUGAAUGACCCCGUUACCCAGAGUUAACCUACUUUGCUGUGGAAUGUGGAGAAAAGAGAAAACCAGGACUGGAAAAGAAGUUGUAAACAUUUCUUUUCUAAUUCUUUGUUCUGUUGAAUUUCUGCAUUCCUGCCUUUAAGUGAGAAACACUUUGAGUUCAUGUAAAAGCUGUCCUUCAGUGUUGACCCAUUCAAUUCCCAGUCAUGUAACCCUGAGAGUUUUCUGUUUUCUGUAAGCUGUGGUUUCCUUCUUGGAGGGAUACUGCCACUACUUAACUUAAUGGCUACUUUAAAUAUUAAAUAGCAUGGUGGAAGUGUGUACUUGGCAUGGCGUACUGCUAACCUGGGAAGACCUCUGGGAAGCCUCCUUUCUGCUUUCUGGUAAAAUUGAGCAUUAUUCAUAUUACUUAUUAUAAAUUGAUUACUUGUGCCCAUGUUGAAAACUCAAAGAAAAUGUUACAAAUAGCAUAAAGUAAAAGUUGUACUUGAUGAAUGAAA